AGUGAACGCUGGCGGCGUGCUUAACACAUGCAAGUCGAACGGGUAAGUGCUGUAGCAAUACAGAUUACUGCUAGUGGCAGACGGGUGAGUAAUAUAUGGGAAUCUGCCCUGGAGUUCGGGAUAACAGUUGGAAACGACUGCUAAUACCGAAUACUGCCGAGAGGCGAAAGAAUUUCGCUCCAGGAUGAGCCCAUAUGGGAUUAGCUAGUUGGUAGGGUAAUGGCCUACCAAGGCUACGAUCUCUAGCUGGUCUUAGAGGACGAACAGCCACACUGGAACUGAGACACGGUCCAGACUCCUACGGGAGGCAGCAGUGGGGAAUAUUGGACAAUGGGGGCAACCCUGAUCCAGCAAUGCCGCGUGAGUGAAGAAGGCCUUCGGGUUGUAAAGCUCUUUUGUCAGGGAAGAAACGGUGAAGGCUAAUAUCCUUUGCUAAUGACGGUACCUGAAGAAUAAGCACCGGCUAACUACGUGCCAGCCGCCGCAGUAA
This 490-nucleotide ribosomal RNA is filed under the name uncultured bacterium. RNAcentral's name for it is "partial 16S ribosomal RNA". It matches the Rfam family "Bacterial small subunit ribosomal RNA", at positions 29 to 523 of the family's 1533-position model. The record is from RNAcentral.